GAUUUUAGCAAAUGGCCGCAAUAGAACAAAGAGUGGGUCUGAAUACUUUUUGUACCCACUGGAAGUCUUAUUUGUUUAACAGACCUGAUCAGCCUGACCUUGAGCUAAGAGUUACUUUGUGCUGGUUUGUUGCCGGGUGAAAUGUUUUUUUUUUCAAUAAUUGUCUCAUUUGUCAGUCUUAUUUCAAGGUGUACUAAGGAGACUGAAGUUUGUCCUGCAGUUUAUUCCUCUGGUGUGUUUGUGUGUUCAGUGUGAGAUCAGGAUCAUGUGUGUCCAGCUCUGUGUCUCUGAAGAGUGACUGGUCAAUGAAUCAUCCACCAUACCUCGGAGAGAAAACACCAUCAUCUGCCCAAAGGUAUUUAGUGUUUUACAUAGUUGCUCACACAUGGAUUGUACUGAACAAUUUUUGGAACCAACAGUUCAGUAAAGAGAGUCAUACCUGAAUGAAUCAGUUGUGUGAAUGAAUCAAUGACUUUGGUGUCUCAUUUACAUUGUAUUACAUGUAUUAUUACAGUAGUUUCACCUGUUAACAGUGUUGAAUAUGAGUCAGCAGAUUCAGGAGACGAGACUCACAGGAGACACAAGAGCUUCACAGACAAUCUCCAGUGGAUCUUCCAGAUUGUCUGGCUGUAUGGUGACAGAGGAAGGCUGUGGUUUUCUGUCUUCAGCUCUGACUUCAAACCCCUCACACCUGAGAGAGCUGGAUCUGAGCUACAAUCAUCCAGGAGAUUCAGGAGUCAAGCUGCUCUCUGAACAACUGGAGGAUCCAAACUACACACUGGACAAACUCAAGUAUGUGGAGCAGCACUGCCUUUUUUGUUGUGAAUACAGAUACUUUGAUACACUGUUAGACCUUACCGUUUUUUUACAGUAGAAUACUGGCAAAACUGUUGCCAGCUACCCACUU
Molecule: long non-coding RNA, 907 nt
Filed under: Danio rerio (zebrafish)
Lineage: Eukaryota; Metazoa; Chordata; Actinopteri; Cypriniformes; Danionidae
Description: lncRNA (ENSDARG00000117429.1)
Source: RNAcentral